AAGCUGAGCCUCCCUGGAAGUGACGAUUUUGUCAUAUUUAUCCAGUGACCGUCUCGCUUUGCUGCAUGAAAAAAACCUGCUCAGUGCUGUCUCAUAGGAAUGCUCGGAGGCUCCGCGUCCACCGUGCUGACACAAGAAUGUAUGACAGGGAGGUCGCGUUUGAAAACUGGUGAUAAACAGCUGAUGUUUUAACAUCAUAGUUAUGAUGUUAACCGCAUCCUAGCGCACGUUUAAUGCAAUGUAAAUUCUUAUUUUAAUGUAAAUUCAAUAGUGCAUAUUUGACCAUUUCUUCUAUGAAAUUUUGGGGGAAGUUCAGCCUCCCUUGUUGUCUCAGCAAUCGCCCCUGACACACACACACACACACACACACACACACACACACACACACACACACACACACACACACACACACACACCUAAAUGAGCCAUGUGUAGACUGGCCCUCCUCUCCAUGCAGUCAGAAUCAAAACAUGAUCCUGCGCGGGAGGAAGGAUUGAUUUUGGCUUUUCCCCACAGAGAAGAUGGCUGGCCAAAUUCCUGAAUAGAAUCAGUCCGAAGUUCAUAGAGUUCAUAGAUGGUUAGUAUCGUGUAUACCUCUGCACAAAUGUGUCCAAAACUCCAAAUGAAAAUUGAAAAGGCUCUAAAGGGACCAGAGGUAUUAACAAAACAGAGUACCUACAAACUUAAAACACAUAUUUGGAAGCUCACAGUCCGAGCAGUGUGAUUAGCUUUUCAGUUAAUUUGUUCAGAAUAUUUCCAGGCUCCAGCCAGGGCUGCUGUGGCAGCUGAAGCAGCAAGAGAGGGUCAGGAAGGGAUAACUGUAGGGGAUGAAGAGUGAGAUGUGGGAAAGGAGGAGGACAGCAGCCAACAUGCUGCUGUGGAAAGAGCCAGUUUGGGCAGAAGCAACAGGUGAGAUUGACAGCAGACAUAUAAAUGCAGAGAAGGUCAGAAAAGCAGAUAACUCAUUUCUAUUCUUCUGUGCCUAGUAGAGGCACUGGAUUUUAUCCAGAGCUGCUCAAUAAGCUUCACUUUAAGCCUUUGAUGUACCACAGAAAGCAUGUUAAAUUUAGUAUCUGCAUGUGCCCUCUUAUGUAUAAACUAUUAGGAAUAAAGUUUUAAUUUCUCUUUUUUGUUUUUCAUCUCAUAUAUGUAAUUUCAAGAUUAAAAAUGAUCACAAAUAAAAAUAAAUGUUCCUAUUCAUAUUUUGAGCAUGAUUGCUUCACUUUUUAAGGUGUUUUUUUGACUGUGCAGGAACCAUAAUAAGCCUGCACCUAAGAGAGGUCAAAGAGAGCUUUUGCUGAGCUUGGAGCAGUCAAAUACACAAGAGACAUAAUAAUUAGUACCGACAGCGAAUAGUAAUAGUCGCAUUAAAAAAUCAAUUUUUCAAAAAUAAAACGACUAUUCGAAAUUCGAAAAUCGUGACCCAUCCCUAAUCACUAUGGAGCAGCGCCAGGACAGCAUCAGAUGCCAGGCCACUCUUGCAUCUGGCAUCAAACUGAAGGACUCCUUUGAGCCCACUGUUGUUUUGGAGCAUGAGGCAAUCAUUGCUCUCUUUGCACAAGACCAUCAAGCCCCAAUUGAGGAACCUGAGUGCUGUCCCUUGGUGCACUGGCAGAGGAGGCAAUGGGGAGAAGAUGUCCAGUGGCAAAGUGACUCCAUACAUUCUGUGCUAAGUACAGAUUUGUAGCAGCAGUACAAGUUUAGGUUCCUCUCACAAUUCAGACUCUUAGGAGCAUCAAAGAGGCCGGACAGACUCCACUCACUGGAUCAUUCCUGUCCCGCCUCCAUUAGAACCCCGAUGAGCCCAAAGACGUUGAGAGUUCAACAUACGUACAGGGCGAGAUGUCCAAGAAGUGCCUAGCGAGGAGCAGUGGGCCAGAAUCCUGCAGGAGGUUACAUAACUGGCCUGGAAACACACCUGGACAGGAGGUUCCAUGAUCUGGACGUCUUUGGGGCCCUCAGUGCUUUGGCUCUGCAGUCAGCUGCUCUACAGGAUGAUACUACUUGUUCAAAAAUCAUAUUUUCAUUGGGGCAUUCAGAAGUACUGCUGGGCUAACCUCUGCCCAUGCCUGAGCCUCCUUGUUAGCAUUGCACUAGCUGUCCCUGUUUCCAUUGUGAACUGUGAAUGUGACUUUUUGAUGAUUAACAGGGAAAUAGCAUUACUUUGAAAAGCACAACAAAUAACUACACAUUUUCUUUAUGUUAGGAUCUCCAUAAUGGUCCCUGUCUUCCUUGGUCCCAGAGGCCUUCCCAUAUGAUAGGGCGUUGGAAUGUUUUUUCAGAAUCCCCAUAAAAUAAAAUAUUAAGACAAAGGGUGCAAACUUUGCAACAAGUUGGCUGUGGAGCAGUCACUUAAAGUGUAGCAUACUCACUUUAUAUAUACUGUAUUUUUUAAAUUAUUUGACACAGUGUUGCAGUUUCAAAAAUGUUCUGGCACACCAUUAAGUCUUAGUUACGGGGGUACAGGAUUAAAAACUCUUUACUCAGAAAGAUUGUGUAUAUGAACAUAGUCUCAUGAAGGCCUGAGGACCAAAAUGUGUAGCCUGCUUAACAUUUUUUCUGAACACCAGUUUUGCCUCCGAGGACCAGAUUUACUAAGAAAAUGACACUGAAGUUAAUGCAAUGCAGCUUUUAUUAUGUAUUUAUUACGUUCAGUUAAAAGUCACCCAUUUCAUCCAGCUAAAAUGAUUUAUUUUCCUUGAUGUCAGCUUUCAUGAAAGAUGCUGUUGCAAAAUGGCUGCAGUAUCAAUAUCAUCCACCAGAUAAACUUGAUAACAUGUUGACACAAAUAUUAUGGUUUACUAGCAGUUUGUUUAUAGAGGAUAUCCCUUAUAUAAAUAAACAAUUAUUAAAUAAUAUAGCAACAAUACGAUUAUGACCUUCCAGAAAUUCUCACAAUUAGAUGGUCCUUUAUGUACACCACUAGAAUGUAAUAAAAAUUACUGUAUGAUCAUCCAACAUUUGGGAAACAAUGCUAUAGCUAAAAAACCAAGACAACAAUUAGUAUGCUGCCCAUAUAUUAGAGACCAGUCAAUAUAACUUAGAUAAGUACAAUAUCAUUCCAAUCAAGUGGUGGCUGUAGCUCAGUCCAUAGGGACUUGGGUUGGGAACUGGAGGGUCACCUGUUCAAGUCCCCAUCCGGCCCAAAUAUGGAGCGUGGACUGGUGGCUGGGGAGGUGCCAGUUCACCUCCUGGGCACUGCCGAGGUGCCCCUGAGCAAGGCACUGAACCCCCCUAACCGCUCGGGGCGCCUGUCUAUGGCAGCUCCCCUCACUCUGACAUCUCUCUACUUUGUCAUCUCUACUUCGUGCAUGUAUAGGUCCUGUUUGUGCAUUUGUGUGUCUUUCGGACCUGUGUGUUAAUGACAAAAGAGUGAAAAAACUGAAUUUCCCCUCAGGGGGAUUAAUAAAGUAUAUAAAAUUAAAUUAGAUUAAAAAAAAAUACCUCUAAUAAGUGGGAAGACUCUAUUAAUAUAACAAUUCUAUGGAAAGAUGUGUUUAACAUUAUUUAUGAAGAGAGAGGAGGAGCGCACACCAGGGUUGGCGAGGUGCUGACCAUUGACGAAAAAAUACAAAUUUGAAAAAAGAUGUCAGGCGAACACUCUAAAAAUAUUUUCUUUUAUUCAAAUACCAACGUUUCGACUAGACCGUCUUCAUCAGGGUUUUUUUAAGUAAGGGAUAAUGUAUAAUGAGCCGGUGAAUACUGGCCUUCAGGGGAAUAGAACCCCUCCGCUGCGCGUCGGGGUUCUAUUCCCCUGUCGGGAGUUAUUUUCCCAGUAUUCACCGGCUCAUUAUACAUUAUCCCGCUUAUUACACGGCUAAUUAUCAGUUAAAUAAAUAAUGUUGUCUGCCUCUGCGAAGUGCAUUAAAACCGACCGGAUUCCACAACUUUUGGUGAAAGUUUUGUACUCACCCAGGCUUAGUGGACUGAACCGAGGCAUAAAACUCGCGUAAAAUGUCAUUAAGCAUGACUGCCGAGUGUGUAUUCAAUUCCGGGUUCUUUUGUUUUUGGCAGAGAAAGUCCGUAGGUAUUCUUUUUCUUCAGCGGCAUCCGUUAAAAUCAGCCACUUCUGUUUGUUUUUUCCCUCGGAAGUUGUUUGACAGCUGCAGUGUUGCAGGGCAGCAUCCCUAGCAACGCUGGGCUACAUAGCAACUGUGUGUAAUGACCGUUGCUACUAGCAGCGGUCAUUACACAGUAAUAUCAGACCGCAGAAUGCCGCUACUGACCAAUCAGAAUACAGCAUUUAAUAGAGCCGUGUAAUAACAUUAUUUAUAACACGACCUAAGAUGUAUCUGUACGCAUAAUACAAAGGUGGAUAAUAGAGCACAUAUUACAGCACAAACUUCUCGUGUUUAUUUAAAUACAAUCAAUUUUAGCAGAUGGUUAGAUGUUAGCUUUCACUGUUAUUUUAUUGGUAACCUGAACGCAGGCUACUGUGGGCCAUAGCCAUUGCCAAAACAGUGAGAUACCUGAUGUAAGCUCUGUAUUAGCCGCUUGUGAGUCUUCUCCUGUUCACCAGCAGGAAUAACAACACAUCCCUCCUUAGCUCUUAGCCAGCUACAGCUUUGCCAUCUCCCUCAGUUUACCAAGAUGACAAUAUGUUCACUUUGUUAUAAUCUAAGACAUCUAUAAACUAGCGAUGCAUGAUAUUGGAUUUUUUUGCCAAUAGCUGGUAUGCUGAUAUGUAACACUUCAUUUGGCUGUUAACCAAUAUUGAUUUAUUCACUUUCUUACCCAACUAAAUUUAUUGAUCCUCAAGUGUCUUCUGUAGUGUAAUUAACAUUAUAUUAUACAUGCAUACUCUUAUUGUGAUGGCCCACCAGCAGAUGGAAACAUGAAAUACAAUGUUUUCCAAUGUAUGUAAUAUUCAUUCAUUGUGCAAAUUAAGAAAAAGCAUGUUGGAAGAUUCUGAUAGCUGAUUUUAAAGCCGAUAUUGGCAGAUACCAAUGACGUGCCGAUAUUAUCGUGCACAAAAUGGUCAGUGAUCUGAUUUAUUGUGCUAUGUUAUUUUCUCCUAUUUUUUAAUACAGAGAUUGAAGAUUUUGGAUAAUUUGUAUUAUAACCUACUAUAUUAUGAGCUCUGAUGUAUAAGUUGAUUUGUUCAGAUCAAUGACCUAUUAAACUACUACUUCCAAGUGUU
This is a long non-coding RNA of Epinephelus moara (kelp grouper), 5140 nucleotides long. RefSeq lists it as uncharacterized. Lineage: Eukaryota; Metazoa; Chordata; Actinopteri; Perciformes; Serranidae. The transcript has 4 exons. The record is from RefSeq and is a predicted model, not a curated record.